AUUGAACGCUGGCGGCAUGCUUUACACAUGCAAGUCGGACGGUAACAGGGGCUUCGGCCCGCUGACGAGCGGCGAACGGGUGAGUAAUGUAUCGGAACGUGCCCAGUAGUGGGGGAUAACUACUCGAAAGAGUAGCUAAUACCGCAUGAGAACUGAGGUUGAAAGCGGGGGAUCUUCGGACCUCGCGCUACUGGAGCGGCUGAUAUCAGAUUAGGUAGUUGGUGGGGUAAAGGCUUACCAAGCCUGCGAUCUGUAGCUGGUCUGAGAGGACGACCAGCCACACUGGGACUGAGACACGGCCCAGACUCCUACGGGAGGCAGCAGUGGGGAAUUUUGGACAAUGGGCGCAAGCCUGAUCCAGCAAUGCCGCGUGCAGGACGAAGGCCUUCGGGUUGUAAACUGCUUUUGUACAGAACGAAAUGUCUCUGGCUAAUACCUGGGGAAGAUGACGGUACUGUAAGAAUAAGCACCGGCUAACUACGUGCCAGCAGCCGCCGUAA
RNAcentral lists this ribosomal RNA (500 nucleotides) under uncultured bacterium. Its description in RNAcentral is "partial 16S ribosomal RNA". It matches the Rfam family "Bacterial small subunit ribosomal RNA", at positions 30 to 523 of the family's 1533-position model. The record is from RNAcentral.